GACGAACGCUGGCGGCGUGCUUAACACAUGCAAGUCGAACGGAAAGGCCCUGCUUUUGUGGGGUUCUUGAGUGGCGAACGGGUGAGUAACACGUGAGUAACCUGCCCUUGUCUUUGGGAUAACUUCAGGAAACUGGGGCUAAUACCGGAUAGGAGCUCCUGCUGCAUGGUGGGGGUUGGAAAGUUUCGGCGGUUGGGGAUGGACUCGCGGCUUAUCAGCUUGUUGGUGGGGUAGUGGCUUACCAAGGCUUUGACGGGUAGCCGGCCUGAGAGGGUGACCGGCCACAUUGGGACUGAGAGACGGACCAGACUCCUACGGGAGGCAGCAGGGGGGAGUCUUGCGCAAUGGGCGGAAGCCUGAUGCAGCAACGCCGCGUGCGGGAUGACGGCCUUCGGGUUGAAAACCGCUUUGGCCUGAGACGAAGCGUGAGUGACGGUAAUGAGUAAAGAAGCACCGGCUAACUACGUG
This 468-nucleotide ribosomal RNA is filed under the name uncultured bacterium. Its description in RNAcentral is "partial 16S ribosomal RNA". It matches the Rfam family "Bacterial small subunit ribosomal RNA", at positions 28 to 507 of the family's 1533-position model. The record is from RNAcentral.